UACGCCGCAGUGGGUCCCGGAAAUGGAGAUACAUGUUUGAGAAUAGGCUGUGUUUGAGAAUCACUGCCCUCAGCGAGCUUCUAACCUUUGUGCUGACUUUGGGAGACAUAUCACUAAUUCUGCCUGGGAGAAGGCUUGGAGGAGAUGUCAUUUAGGCACAGAGCUUGAAGACCAGCAAGGAAGAGACCCGGGACCAGGACGGAGAGAAGAGAGAGAAGGCGCUGGCAGUCCAUGUAAAA
Molecule: long non-coding RNA, 239 nt
Organism: Suricata suricatta (meerkat)
Lineage: Eukaryota; Metazoa; Chordata; Mammalia; Carnivora; Herpestidae
Exons: 3
Source: RefSeq, a predicted model, not a curated record